Molecule: ribosomal RNA, 503 nt
Filed under: uncultured bacterium
Lineage: Bacteria
Description: partial 16S ribosomal RNA
Rfam family: Bacterial small subunit ribosomal RNA
Source: RNAcentral
AUUGAACGCUGGCGGCAGGCUUAACACAUGCAAGUCGAGCGGAGUGAUGGUGCUUGCACUAUCACUUAGCGGCGGACGGGUGAGUAAUGCUUAGGAAUCUGCCUAUUAGUGGGGGACAACAUCUCGAAAGGGAUGCUAAUACCGCAUACGUCCUACGGGAGAAAGCAGGGGAUCACUUGUGACCUUGCGCUAAUAGAUGAGCCUAAGUCGGAUUAGCUAGUUGGUGGGGUAAAGGCCUACCAAGGCGACGAUCUGUAGCGGGUCUGAGAGGAUGAUCCGCCACACUGGGACUGAGACACGGCCCAGACUCCUACGGGAGGCAGCAGUGGGGAAUAUUGGACAGUGGGGGGAACCCUGAUCCAGCCAUGCCGCGUGUGUGAAGAAGGCCUUAUGGUUGUAAAGCACUUUAAGCGAGGAGGAGGCUCUUUUGGUUAAUACCCAAGAUGAGUGGACGUUACUCGCAGAAUAAGCACCGGCUAACUCUGUGCCAGCAGCCGCCGUAA